This 492-nucleotide ribosomal RNA is filed under the name uncultured bacterium. RNAcentral's name for it is "partial 16S ribosomal RNA". It matches the Rfam family "Bacterial small subunit ribosomal RNA", at positions 29 to 507 of the family's 1533-position model. The record is from RNAcentral.
AGUGAACGCUGGCGGUAGGCCUAACACAUGCAAGUCGAACGGCAGCACAGUAAGAGCUUGCUCUUACGGGUGGCGAGUGGCGGACGGGUGAGGAAUACAUCGGAAUCUACUUUUUCGUGGGGGAUAACGUAGGGAAACUUACGCUAAUACCGCAUACGACCUACGGGUGAAAGCAGGGGAUCUUCGGACCUUGCGCGUUUGAAUGAGCCGAUGUCGGAUUAGCUAGUUGGCGGGGUAAAGGCCCACCAAGGCGACGAUCCGUAGCUGGUCUGAGAGGAUGAUCAGCCACACGGGAACUGAGACACGGUCCAGACUCCUAAGGGAGGCAGCAGUGGGGAAUAUUGGACAAAGGGCGCAAGCCUGAUCCAGCCAUACCGCGUGGGUGAAGAAGGCCUUCGGGUUGUAAAGCCCUUUUGUUGGGAAAGAAAAGCAGCAGGUUAAUACCCCGCUGUUCUGACGGUACCCAAAGAAUAAGCACCGGCUAACUUCGUG